UUCCGGUUGAUCCUGCCAGAGGUCACUGCUAUCGGGGUUCGAUUAAGCCAUGCGAGACGAGAGGGUUCAGACCCUCGGCGGACUGCUCAGUAACACGUGGAUAAUCUGCCCUAUGGUGGAGGAUAACCCCGGGAAACUGGGGAUAAUACUCCAUAAGUCAGGAGUACUGGAAUGUCUCCUAACUGAAAGUUGCGGCGCCAUAGGAUGAAUCUGCGGCCGAUUAGGUAGUUGUUGGGGUAACGGCCCAACAAGCCCGUAAUCGGUACGGGUUGUGGGAGCAAGAGCCCGGAGAUGGAAUCUGAGACACGAUUCCAGGCCCUACGGGGCGCAGCAGGCGCGAAAACUUUACAAUGCAGGAAACUGUGAUAAGGGAACCCCGAGUGCCCGUAAACGCGGGCUGUCCCGGUGUUUAAAACACAUCGGAAGAAAGGGCCGGGCAAGACCGGUGCCAGCCGCCGCGGUAAUACCGGCGGCUCGAGUGGUGACCACUUUUAUUGGGCUUAAAGCGUUCGUAGCUUGAUUUUUAAGUCUCUUGGGAAAUCUCACGGCUUAA
This 553-nucleotide ribosomal RNA is filed under the name uncultured archaeon. RNAcentral's name for it is "bacterial SSU rRNA". It matches the Rfam family "Archaeal small subunit ribosomal RNA", at positions 1 to 562 of the family's 1478-position model. The record is from RNAcentral.